GAUGAACGCUGGCGGCGUGCUUAACACAUGCAAGUCGAACGAAGCAUUUAGGACAGAUUACUUCGGUUUGAAGUUCUUUAUGACUGAGUGGCGGACGGGUGAGUAACGCGUGGGUAACCUGCCUUGUACUGGGGGAUAGCAGCUGGAAACGGCUGGUAAUACCGCAUAAGCGCACAAUGUUGCAUGACAUGGUGUGAAAAACUCCGGUGGUAUAAGAUGGACCCGCGUCUGAUUAGCUAGUUGGUGAGAUAGCAGCCCACCAAGGCGACGAUCAGUAGCCGACCUGAGAGGGUGACCGGCCACAUUGGGACUGGGACACGGCCCAGACUCCUACGGGAGGCAGCAGUGGGGAAUAUUGCACAAUGGAGGAAACUCUGAUGCAGCGACGCCGCGUGAGUGAAGAAGUAAUUCGUUAUGUAAAGCUCUAUCAGCAGGGAAGAUAGUGACGGUACCUGACUAAGAAGCUCCGGCUAAAUACGUG
Molecule: ribosomal RNA, 481 nt
Filed under: uncultured bacterium
Lineage: Bacteria
Description: partial 16S ribosomal RNA
Rfam family: Bacterial small subunit ribosomal RNA
Source: RNAcentral